UAAGGCCCUUCUCAAAACCAUUUCGGUAGUCACUAAUGUGACCAGUCUAAAAGGAGCCAAUAUUGAACCUUCCCAUGACAGUCGCUGCUCAGUUUUGUAUAUGUACCUAAUUAGCAACAUUUGCGGGAAAGGACAGUU
Molecule: small nucleolar RNA, 138 nt
Organism: Acipenser ruthenus (sterlet)
Lineage: Eukaryota; Metazoa; Chordata; Actinopteri; Acipenseriformes; Acipenseridae
Source: RefSeq, a predicted model, not a curated record